RNAcentral lists this ribosomal RNA (291 nucleotides) under uncultured Methanobrevibacter sp. Its description in RNAcentral is "partial 16S ribosomal RNA". It matches the Rfam family "Archaeal small subunit ribosomal RNA", at positions 352 to 644 of the family's 1478-position model. Lineage: Archaea; Methanobacteriati; Methanobacteriota; Methanobacteria; Methanobacteriales; Methanobacteriaceae. The record is from RNAcentral.
AUCAUGUGAGAAUCGCGAUGGGGGGAUCCCAAGUGCCAUUCUUAACGGGAUGGCUUUUCUUAAGUGUAAAGAGCUUUUGGAAUAAGAGCUGGGCAAGACCGGUGCCAGCCGCCGCGGUAACACCGGCAGCUCUAGUGGUAGCUGUUUUUAUUGGGCCUAAAGCGUUCGUAGCCGGUUUAAUAAGUCUCUGGUGAAAUCCUAUAGCUUAACUGUGGGAAUUGCUGGAGAUACUAUUAGACUUGAGAUCGGGAGAGGUCAGAGGUACUCCUGGGGUAGGGGUGAAAUCCUGUA